UACGAAGGGGGCUAGCGUUGUUCGGAUUUACUGGGCGUAAAGCGCACGUAGGCGGUUUGUUAAGUCAGGGGUGAAAUCCCAGAGCUCAACUCUGGAACUGCCUCUGAUACUGGCAAGCUAGAGUCCGGAAGAGGUAAGUGGAACUCCUAGUGUAGAGGUGGAAUUCGUAGAUAUUAGGAAGAACACCAGUGGCGAAGGCGGCUUACUGGUCCGGAACUGACGCUGAGGUGCGAAAGCGUGGGGAGCAAACAGG
Molecule: ribosomal RNA, 253 nt
Filed under: uncultured bacterium
Lineage: Bacteria
Also listed under: 1 other name
Description: partial 16S ribosomal RNA
Rfam family: Bacterial small subunit ribosomal RNA
Source: RNAcentral